UAAGUGUAUCUCAAUUAAAAAAAUGGGGAAAAAUAAAUGGCAGAAAAAUUUAGCCAAAAAAGUGAAAUUUAAGGCAAAAUGGGGCCAAAAAAACAAAAUUUAAUAAACUAAAAAUUUUAAAUUAAAAAAAUAAACCCAAAUGGUGCUAAAAAUAAAUUCAUAAAUUAAAAACACUCUUUUAACACAAAAUUAGUAAAAGUCAUCUAAUCUCUUAAUCUCUAC
Molecule: long non-coding RNA, 222 nt
Filed under: Salvia miltiorrhiza (redroot sage)
Lineage: Eukaryota; Viridiplantae; Streptophyta; Magnoliopsida; Lamiales; Lamiaceae
Description: long non-coding RNA (SMIL_LNC013200)
Source: RNAcentral